UGGUUCAGUUGGUUAAAGCACCUGUCUCGUAAACAGGAGACCCUGGGUCUGAAUCUCAG
This 59-nucleotide transfer RNA is filed under the name Lepisosteus oculatus (spotted gar). The record is from Rfam by way of RNAcentral. Lineage: Eukaryota; Metazoa; Chordata; Actinopteri; Semionotiformes; Lepisosteidae.